UAACUCAAGGGUGCCGAGUGAGUGAGAGGGCCUUCGGGUUGUAAGCUCUUUUGUCAGGGAAGAAAAGCAGCUCUAACACAGUCUGCGAAUGACCGUAUCUGAACAAUAAGCACCGGCUAACUACCUGCCAGCAGCCCCGGUAAUACGUAAGGUGCGAGCGUUAAUCGGAAUUACUGGGCGUAAAGCGGGCGCAGGGGGUUAUACAAGACAGGCGUGAAAUCCCCGGGCUUAACCUGGGAAUGGCGUCUGUGACUGUAUAGCUUGAGUGUGUCAGAAGGGGGUGGAAUUCCACUUGGAACAGUGAAAUGCGUAAAUAUGUGGAGGAACACCAAUGGCGAAAGCUGCCCCCUGGGAUAACACUGACCCUCAUGCACCAAAACCUGGGGAGCAAACAGGAUUAAAUACCCUGGUAAUCCACGCCCUAAACGAUGCUGACUAAUUGUUGGGAAUUUACAUUCUCAAUAACGUACCUAACGCGUGAAGUCAGCCGCCUGGGGAGUACGGUCGCAAGAUUAAAACU
This 520-nucleotide ribosomal RNA is filed under the name uncultured bacterium. RNAcentral describes it as "bacterial SSU rRNA". It matches the Rfam family "Bacterial small subunit ribosomal RNA", at positions 384 to 901 of the family's 1533-position model. The record is from RNAcentral.